Molecule: ribosomal RNA, 1470 nt
Filed under: metagenome
Description: bacterial SSU rRNA
Rfam family: Bacterial small subunit ribosomal RNA
Source: RNAcentral
AGAGUUUGAUCCUGGCUCAGGACGAACGCUGGCGGCACGCUUAACACAUGCAAGUCGAACGAGAGAAGAGGAGCUUGCUUUUCUGAUCUAGUGGCGGACGGGUGAGUAGCACGUGAGCAAUCUGCCUUUCAGAGGGGGAUACCGAUUGGAAACGAUCGUUAAUACCGCAUAACAUAAUUGAACCGCAUGAUUUGAUUAUCAAAGAUUUAUCGCUGAAAGAUGAGCUCGCGUCUGAUUAGCUAGUUGGUAAGGUAACGGCUUACCAAGGCGACGAUCAGUAGCCGGACUGAGAGGUUGAUCGGCCACAUUGGGACUGAGACACGGCCCAGACUCCUACGGGAGGCAGCAGUGGGGAAUAUUGCACAAUGGAGGAAACUCUGAUGCAGCGAUGCCGCGUGAGGGAAGAAGGUUUUAGGAUUGUAAACCUCUGUCUUCAGGGACGAAAAAAGACGGUACCUGAGGAGGAAGCUCCGGCUAACUACGUGCCAGCAGCCGCGGUAAUACGUAGGGAGCGAGCGUUGUCCGGAAUUACUGGGUGUAAAGGGAGCGUAGGCGGGAUCGCAAGUCAGAUGUGAAAACUAUGGGCUUAACCCAUAAACUGCAUUUGAAACUGUGGUUCUUGAGUGAAGUAGAGGUAAGCGGAAUUCCUAGUGUAGCGGUGAAAUGCGUAGAUAUUAGGAGGAACAUCAGUGGCGAAGGCGGCUUACUGGGCUUUAACUGACGCUGAGGCUCGAAAGCGUGGGGAGCAAACAGGAUUAGAUACCCUGGUAGUCCACGCCGUAAACGAUGAUUACUAGGUGUGGGGGGACUGACCCCUUCCGUGCCGCAGCAAACGCAAUAAGUAAUCCACCUGGGGAGUACGACCGCAAGGUUGAAACUCAAAGGAAUUGACGGGGGCCCGCACAAGCAGUGGAGUAUGUGGAUUAAUUCGAAGCAACGCGAAGAACCUUACCAGGUCUUGACAUCGUAUGCAUAGCUCAGAGAUGAGUGAAAUCUCUUCGGAGACAUAUAGACAGGUGGUGCAUGGUUGUCGUCAGCUCGUGUCGUGAGAUGUUGGGUUAAGUCCCGCAACGAGCGCAACCCUUACUGUUAGUUGCUACGCAAGAGCACUCUAGCAGGACUGCCGUUGACAAAACGGAGGAAGGUGGGGAUGACGUCAAAUCAUCAUGCCCCUUAUGACCUGGGCCUCACACGUACUACAAUGGCUGUCAACAGAGGGAAGCAAAGCCGCGAGGUGGAGCGAACCCCUAAAAGCAGUCUUAGUUCGGAUUGUAGGCUGCAACCCGCCUACAUGAAGUCGGAAUUGCUAGUAAUCGCAGAUCAGCAUGCUGCGGUGAAUACGUUCCCGGGCCUUGUACACACCGCCCGUCACGCCAUGGGAGUCGGUAACACCCGAAGCCUGUAGUCUAACCGCAAGGAGGACGCAGUCGAAGGUGGGAUUGAUGACUGGGGUGAAGUCGUAACAAGGUA